Molecule: ribosomal RNA, 497 nt
Filed under: uncultured bacterium
Lineage: Bacteria
Description: partial 16S ribosomal RNA
Rfam family: Bacterial small subunit ribosomal RNA
Source: RNAcentral
GAUGAACGCUGGCGGCGUGCCUAAUACAUGCAAGUCGAGCGAACGGACGAGAAGCUUGCUUCUCUGAUGUUAGCGGCGGACGGGUGAGUAACACGUGGAUAACCUACCUAUAAGACUGGGAUAACUUCGGGAAACCGUAGCUGAUACCGGAUAAUAUUUUGAACCGCAUUGUUCAAAAGUGAAAGACGGUCUUGCUGUCACUUAUAGAUGGAUCCGCGCUGCAUUAGCUAGUUGGUAAGGUAACGGCUUACCAAGGCAACGAUGCAUAUCCGACCUGAGAGGGUGAUCGGCCACGCUGGAACUGAGACACGGUCCAGACUCCUACGGGAGGCAGCAGUAGGGAAUCUUCCGCAAUGGGCGAAAGCCUGACGGAGCAACGCCGCGUGAGUGAUGAAGGUCUUCGGAUCGUAAAACUCUGUUAUUAGGGAAGAACAUAUGUGUAAGUAACUGUGCACAUCUUGACGGUACCUAAUCAGAAAGCCACGGCUAACUACGUG